CCAUCAUUAUCGCUGAUCCUUAAUAGGGGUUUUUAGUUAAAUGAGUGAUUCAAAAAUAAAUAUAAUUAUAGUUACCGAUCUUUAGUAAAGGAUUUUGGCAACCUAUCCUUAGAUGGACGGAGAUCGCCGGAUCUGGCUCGUUCCGGCGGGAGUUUGUUACGGCUCUCGAGUUCUACACGAUGGUGCUGGAGUCCCGGAGAUUCGGUGAAGAAGGUCGUUGAAUCGUUUGUCUGCGACCGAAGAUCGCCGCAGCGGUGGAAACGACGGCGAUCACCUUCCUCCGCUCUGAUUUCUCCGCCGCAGCUCCCGCCAAUCGAUUACCUGCCCCGGCCCUACAAUGGUCCUGCGAUCACCUUCCUCCGCUCUGAUUACUGUGUCAGACUAACAUCUUUUGCUUUCUCAGAUUACUAAAAUUAAGCCUUUUGAAGUAAGAGUAAACUUUGGCCAAAUUUUCCGAGGAAGAAUCCACAUAACGGAGGUGAAUGAUGUUGGUACAAAUGAAAAACCUUUUGCCAAAUUCAGAGUUGGGCAAUCGGGUGUCUGCAAGGGUUGUUGCAAAGCCCUGUCAUACGGAUAAUAAAAAGAGUUAACUCUGGGACUCUGGGAGCUUUCUGUAAAGCCUGCAAUACUUAGAGAAUUUGGUGAGCUGACUGAAGUAAGGGAACAACUUGAGUUUGUUUCUGGAGAGCUUGUCUGCGGUUAUGUCUACAAAGUGGAUAAAGAAUGGGUUUGGUUGGCAAUAUCUCGCAAUGUGACAGCACGCAUGUAUAUCCUCUCCCCUCUCUUCUGUAAGUUUCAGUUUCUGUUUGUUUAAGUUGUGUGUUUGUUGUUCUGGUUAUGUAAUGUUUCUCUUCAGAAGUAUGUCGAGUUUGGAUUUGUUGUUCUGUUUCUGUUAAACUUGUUUGAGUGUAUUAUGUUUCUCUU
Brassica napus (rape) is the source of this 924-nucleotide long non-coding RNA. RefSeq lists it as uncharacterized. The transcript is spliced from 3 exons. The record is from RefSeq and is a predicted model, not a curated record. NCBI's taxonomy places the organism in Eukaryota, Viridiplantae, Streptophyta, Magnoliopsida, Brassicales, Brassicaceae.